GUGGACUCCCGUGGUCUUGUAAGGGCUGCUGAUGUACAGAAGCUGAGAAGAUCAUGAAUGAUUUUGGAAGCAGAAGAGUUAUCACAUCGAGUGAAAAUAUAAGUGCAGUGACAGUGCAUAGUGAAGGAAAAUGGCAGAUGUGGCAGCCGUGCUGGUCAGUGGCUGAGGAAGACCCUCCACCUGCUCCGAGAGCAUCCCAGUAACUGCCGUGUCACCUUACCCAGAUCUUCAGGGUGAGGUGGAGUUUUAUCAUGGGACACGAUGACUAGAGAUAAAUCAUUUACUGAAAUGAGGACUACUCUCCAAAAAUGCAACAGCAAAGUUUCUGUGCUAUG
This is a long non-coding RNA of Tyto alba (common barn owl), 335 nucleotides long. RefSeq lists it as uncharacterized. Lineage: Eukaryota; Metazoa; Chordata; Aves; Strigiformes; Tytonidae. The record is from RefSeq and is a predicted model, not a curated record. The transcript is spliced from 3 exons.